This 440-nucleotide ribosomal RNA is filed under the name uncultured bacterium. RNAcentral's name for it is "partial 16S ribosomal RNA". It matches the Rfam family "Bacterial small subunit ribosomal RNA", at positions 338 to 795 of the family's 1533-position model. The record is from RNAcentral.
CCUACGGGAGGCAGCAGUGGGGAAUAUUCCACAAUGGGGGAAACCCUGAUGCAGCGACGCCGCGUGAGUGAAGAAGUAUCUCGGUACAUAAAGCUCUAUCAGCAGGGAAGAAAAUGACGGUACCUGACUAAGAAGCCCCGGCUAACUACGUGCCAGCAGCCGAGGGCAUACGUAGGGGGCAAGCGUUAUCCGGAUUUACUGGGUGUAAAGGGAGCGGAGACGGCAGCACAAGUCUGGAGUGAAAUCCCGGGGCUUAACCCCGGAACUGCUUUGGAAACUGUGCGGCUGGAGUGCAGGAGGGGUAAGCGGAAUUCCUAGUGUAGCGGUGAAAUGCGUAGAUAUUAGGAGGAACACCGGUGGCGAAGGCGGCUUACUGGACUGUAACUGACGUUGAGGCUCGAAAGCGUGGGUAGCAAACAGGAUUAGAUACCACGGUAGUC